RNAcentral lists this unclassified non-coding RNA (200 nucleotides) under soil metagenome. RNAcentral describes it as "partial contains internal transcribed spacer 2 and large subunit ribosomal RNA". The record is from RNAcentral.
UCUACGGUGUGAUAAACGUCAUCGCUGUGGGAUCUUCGCCUCUACAAAGAAAAGGAUUACCGUGGGCUUCACGCCUGCAGCGCUUCGGCCGUGUGAACCUUUUUCGAGUGGCGAGUGUGUCUGGCUUCUAAUCGCCCUUGUGGCAAACACUUCAUCUGACAUCUGAGCUCAAAUCAGGUAGGACUACCCGCUGAACUUAA